Molecule: ribosomal RNA, 429 nt
Filed under: Bacteroidota bacterium
Lineage: Bacteria; Pseudomonadati; Bacteroidota
Description: Bacteroidetes bacterium partial 16S ribosomal RNA
Rfam family: Bacterial small subunit ribosomal RNA
Source: RNAcentral
UAGGGAAUCUUCGGCAAUGGGGGGAACCCUGACCGAGCAACGCCGCGUGAGUGAAGAAGGUUUUCGGAUCGUAAAGCUCUGUUGUUAAGGAAGAACGAGUGUGAGAAUGGAAAGUUCAUACUGUGACGGUACUUAACCAGAAAGGGACGGCUAACUACGUGCCAGCAGCCGCGGUAAUACGUAGGUCCCGAGCGUUGUCCGGAUUUAUUGGGCGUAAAGCGAGCGCAGGCGGUUAGAUAAGUCUGAAGUUAAAGGCAGUGGCUCAACCAUUGUAGGCUUUGGAAACUGUUUAACUUGAGUGCAGAAGGGGAGAGUGGAAUUCCAUGUGUGGCGGUGAAAUGCGUAGAUAUAUGGAGGAACACCGGUGGCGAAAGCGGCUCUCUGGUCUGUAACUGACGCUGAGGCUCGAAAGCGUGGGGAGCGAACAGG